GUAAGUAGACCUGAAAACAAGGAAGUCUAACCCUAGUGGCUAAGAAAAUCCUAACAACUUUAACAGGGGAGCUGGGACGAGGCUUUACCCAUUGACCAAGAAGCGUGCGAAGCAUGCUAUUCCAUUGGGAGCAAACUACAGGCUGAUCGAUAUCCCAGUCAGUAAUUGCCUCAACAGUAACGUGUCCAAGAUCUAUGUGCUGACCUAGUUCAAUUCCGAUUCGCUCAAUCGCCAUCUUUCUGGUGCUUAUGCCAGUAACAUGGGUGGCUACAAAAAUGAAGGCUUUGUUGAGGUUCUUGCUACCCAGCAGAGCCCUGAGAAUCCCAAUUGAUUUAAGGGUACCGCUGAUGCCGUGAGGCAGUACUUGUGGUUGUUUGAGGAGCACAAUGUGUUGGAGUUUUUGGUUCUUGCUAGGGACCACUUAUAUAGGAUGGACUAUGAGAGAUUUAUUCAGGUGCAUGCAGACAUCACUGUGGCUGCUCUGCCCAUGGAUGAGAAGCAUGAUACCGCCUUCGGUUUGAUGAAGUUUGCUGAGAAACCUAAAGGGGAGCAACUCAAAGCUAUGAAGGUGAACAAUCCAACUGCAGGUUGAUACUACUAUCCUGGGUCUUGAUGAUGAGAGAGCUAAAGAGAUGCCUUAAAUUGCCAGCAUGGGUAUAUCUGUUGUGAACAAAAAUGUCAUGUUAGAGCUACCUUGAGACAAGUUUCCUGGUGCAAAUAAUUUCGGGAGUGAAGUUAUUCCAAGCGCAACUUCCAUCGGUUUGAGGGUAAGUUUUCAUUCAUAUAGUUUAUUCUGUAAUUUCUAAGAAAGAUCAAUCAAAAGAGGUGGAAAAGAUUUGGAAUAAUUGUUGGUAUUACAUAAUUGCAAAUAUCUUUCAUUCGAAACUAAACGAACCCCUUUGUACUGAAAAAGAUAAUGUCCUAAAUUGAUUUUAUAUGAUCUGCUAAAUAUUUCCUAGUUCCAUACUUUUUGUCCCCCACUACCCUUCAUCCGGAUAUUCAGCCCCCCGGAAUACUAGUUAUUAAUGCCUACAGGUUCAAGCUUAUUUGUAUGAUGGCCACUGGGAAGAUAUUGGUACCAUUGAGGCUUUCAACUUUCUACAAUGCAAACUUGGGGAUAACCAAAAAACCAGUUCCAGAUUUCAGAACUGUAAAAUUCACCAUUCAGUCGUUGGGCUUCAGUCUUGCAUAGCAAAGGGUGCUGUCAUUGAAGACACAUUACUCAUGAGAGCUGACUACUAUGAGGAUGAUGUGGGAAAUCGAUCAACGAGAGGAAGAAUUGGUUAACCAAUCAGAAGGAAUGUUCAAACGCCAUGCGGCCCAAAAUGAGAAGGAAGAGGAUGAGGAGCGUAAACGGAGAGCUGACGAAUCAAGAAUGGCAAGAGCCUCACAUUCCCGUCAAGUCAUCCAAGCUGUGGCUCAGAUCUGCAGGCCUAGCCACGCUAUAAACAUUGAUAGAAGCAGGCAGCGACGAGGUCAGGAU
Molecule: long non-coding RNA, 1483 nt
Organism: Pyrus x bretschneideri (Chinese white pear)
Lineage: Eukaryota; Viridiplantae; Streptophyta; Magnoliopsida; Rosales; Rosaceae
Exons: 5
Source: RefSeq, a predicted model, not a curated record